AUGACCUGCCUCUGAUGGGAUAACGCUGCGAAAGCAGCGCUAAUACCGCAUACGCUGCCCGCUUCGUUGCGUGCAGCAAAGCGUAAGCGCUCGGAGAGGGGUCCGCGCCCGAUUAGCUAGUCGGUGGGGUAACGGCCUACCGAGGCGACGAUCGGUAGCUGGUCUGAGAGGAUGAUCAGCCACACUGGGACUGAGACACGGCCCAG
This 206-nucleotide ribosomal RNA is filed under the name uncultured bacterium. RNAcentral describes it as "partial 16S ribosomal RNA". It matches the Rfam family "Bacterial small subunit ribosomal RNA", at positions 121 to 334 of the family's 1533-position model. The record is from RNAcentral.